AACGAACGCUGGCGGCAUGCCUAACACAUGCAAGUCGAACGAGAACUUCGGGUCUAGUGGCGCACGGGUGCGUAACGCGUGGGAACCUGCCCUUAGGUUCGGAAUCACUCACCGAGAGGGGAGCUAAUAACGGAGAAUGUAUUCGGACCAAGGAUUUAUCGCUUUUGGAUGGGGUCGAGUCGGAUUAGCUUGUUGGUGGGGUAAAGGCUUACCAAGGCGACGAUGGGUAGCUGGUCUGGGAGGAUGGUCAGCACCACUGGGACUGCACUACGGCCCAGCCUCCUCCGGGAGGCAGCGCUGCAGAAUGUUGCACUAUGCGCGGAGGCCUGAUGCAGCCACGCCGCGUGCGGGAUGACGGCCUUCGGUUUGUAAUCCGCUUUCCCCUGUGACGAAGUGUGAGUGACGGUAAUGGGUAAAGAAGCACCGGCUAACUCCGUG
This 438-nucleotide ribosomal RNA is filed under the name uncultured bacterium. Its description in RNAcentral is "partial 16S ribosomal RNA". It matches the Rfam family "Bacterial small subunit ribosomal RNA", at positions 29 to 507 of the family's 1533-position model. The record is from RNAcentral.